UGGGGAAUUUUGGACAAUGGGCGAAAGCCUGAUCCAGCAAUGCCGCGUGUGUGAAGAAGGCCUUCGGGUUGUAAAGCACUUUUGUCCGGAAAGAAAUCCUUGGCUCUAAUACAGUCGGGGGAUGACGGUACCGGAAGAAUAAGCACCGGCUAACUACGUGCCAGCAGCCGCGGUAAUACGUAGGGUGCAAGCGUUAAUCGGAAUUACUGGGCGUAAAGCGUGCGCAGGCGGUUUGCUAAGACCGAUGUGAAAUCCCCGGGCUCAACCUGGGAACUGCAUUGGUGACUGGCAGGCUAGAGUAUGGCAGAGGGGGGUAGAAUUCCACGUGUAGCAGUGAAAUGCGUAGAGAUGUGGAGGAAUACCGAUGGCGAAGGCAGCCCCCUGGGCCAAUACUGACGCUCAUGCACGAAAGCGUGGGGAGCAAACAGGAUUAGAUACCCUGGUAGUCCACGCCCUAAAGCGAUGUCAACUAGUUGUUGGGGAUUCAUUUCCUUAGUAACGUAGCUAACGCGUGAAGUUGACCGCC
Molecule: ribosomal RNA, 526 nt
Filed under: uncultured bacterium
Lineage: Bacteria
Description: partial 16S ribosomal RNA
Rfam family: Bacterial small subunit ribosomal RNA
Source: RNAcentral